CGGGCUCCGAGCGGCCGGAACCCUCGCGCCCCGCCCUGCCCGGAGCCACCCGGAGCCGCUGAGUCCCGGACCCGCUCCGCUGGCCGGGCGGGGCUAUUUUUUUCGGCCCGUGUUCUUUCAGCGGCCGGGAAGGAACAUUCUUGGCUUUCCCCGCCUGGCUGCGCCUGUUCCCGCUCCUCCCCCGCCGCGUGUUUUCCGCCCCAGUAAAGAUCGUGCCACACAAAUAAGCCUCGAAUGCCCUUUGCCAAGCGGGCGGGAGGGCACGAGUGCAGAGCCUGAGCGGGCCAUUUUCAGGGCGCGUCUCCGGAGCCGCUAAAAGUCUUGUUUUCUCCCCAAGUGGAAGAGAUCUCCCAUCCAGGAGAUCUUCAGUCAUGCUGUCCAGUGGAUCCUCCUCGAGUCUGAGCUGCAGCUGAGGUGAUGUUAAAUGACUUCCAAUACUGGCUUCUAAGAGUCUUGCUGUCUCUUGGAAUGAUGGCUCUUGGGACACUCCCUCCCAGGACCCAGCUGUAAUCUUCAAGAAUGAAUUGUGUGUAGUUUUCUCCCAGGUACCAGCUAUGGGAAUGAAAGUGCUGGAGUCUUAUUGAGCCCUGAAGGAGUGACGUUCAGGUGCCCACUGCAGCAGGGACGGACCCAGAAGACAGCUGGGGAAGCAAAGAGGUCAAACACGAAAGGGCAAACACUGUGAUUCCACUUAGCCGAGGCUCCCACAGUAGGGAACCAGAGACGGAAAGUAGAACAGAGGACCUGGGCCUGGGUGGCUGGAGGGGAAGACCGGGGUUUAGAGUCUGCCGGGGCCAGACUUUUCGUUUGGGAUGAUGAACAAAUUCUGGAGAUGGAUAGAGGUGAUGGCUGCACAACUAUAUGAAUGUACUUACUGCCACAGAAGCGUACCUUAAAAUGGGUUCUUUUACCUUGGGUAUACUGUACUACGAUAAAAGAUGAAAAAACAGAAUAAAGCUGUAAACAUGGGAGGAUACGGUGCAAACGGUUUGAGUAUGAAAUGCCAAUCGUCUUGUUUUGUUUCUUUUUCCGGAAAUCGGGGCUCACUGCUA
This is a non-coding RNA of Heterocephalus glaber (naked mole-rat), 1052 nucleotides long. NCBI's taxonomy places the organism in Eukaryota, Metazoa, Chordata, Mammalia, Rodentia, Bathyergidae. The record is from RefSeq and is a predicted model, not a curated record.